RNAcentral lists this long non-coding RNA (180 nucleotides) under Mustela putorius furo (domestic ferret). RNAcentral's name for it is "lncRNA (ENSMPUG00000024351.1)". The record is from RNAcentral. Lineage: Eukaryota; Metazoa; Chordata; Mammalia; Carnivora; Mustelidae.
GGAACCUAAUACCAAAUAGUGAAGAAGCUGUGGAUUAAAGAAACCUUUAAUAGACUGUGAUCUUUGUGAAUGAACAACAUAGAAAAGUGGAAAAUGACUCGUGUUUAGAGAUAAAAAAACAUUUAAACCAAAAGAACAACAACAAAAUAUAGCUUAUGAACCCAGCUUUAAAAUAAUCUU